Long non-coding RNA from Nymphaea colorata (pocket water lily), 1297 nucleotides. RefSeq lists it as uncharacterized. The transcript is spliced from 2 exons. NCBI's taxonomy places the organism in Eukaryota, Viridiplantae, Streptophyta, Magnoliopsida, Nymphaeales, Nymphaeaceae. The record is from RefSeq and is a predicted model, not a curated record.
UCUGUUUUCUUCUCUAAGUUUUCUCUCGGUAUCAUUAGCAAAAUGAGAGAGGAAAAUCGACUGCUCCCUUCCGUUAACUCCAAAAAAUCAAAGUUUGUAGAGAGGUUCUUCAGACACCUGGAAUUGGAAUAAUCUUCUGCUCGACAGCUAGAAUCGCCUGAAGAAUCAGCAACGGCCUUCUUCUCUGCCACCUGAUACACCUUCGUCUCAGCUAACUAUUCCAGAGAACGGCGGGAAAGGAAGUCAGGGAAGGGCACCUUUCUCACCGGAUUCUUCUGUACUCCGGCAGCAACCCCUAUCGCCGGAAUUUCUCAGGGUCGACUGCAUUUCUCUGCUGUGGAUGUCAGUGACGAGCCCAUUGCAGAUCCUCACAAAUCAUCUCCAGAAAUCUCCUCUUGGCAGCUCCUGUUCUCAGCCUACAGGUUCAGCUCGACAGCAGGCUUUGAACUAUUUCUCUGUUUUCUCUGAGGAGAGCUUGACGGUGAUAGUCUGAGAUCCCUGGAUUUUCUGCCCCUUGAACGUGAGCAUCAAAGCAAAAAUUCGUGAAGCCUGCUCUGUUUGCGUAGAAUGAACACCACCGACUCGGGAUUCAUCAAAGAUCUUAAUUCACUCCUCCUAUUUUGCUCUCAGCCCUGCAACUAUGGCUUCUCUAUUUUCUAAGGUUAGUUUUUUUUCUCUUUCUCUGCGUCAAGACAAUUUGAGUCUUGGAAGUCGUUGAGUCAAUACUUGGAGCCGGAAAAGGAGGAGGAAGACGUCUGCUGCUGCUCAAGGGAGACCUGCUGCUUGGCCUGCUUGCCGAAGGAAAGGGGGAAGUGAACCCUCAUUCCCUCAUAUAUCUCUGCCUCCUCUCCCUCCAUGGUCGUGUUUCUGGAUCAAUCUUUGCUGACGACAGGAAGAGAUGCAAGUGAUCAUUUUUUUCCGAAGCCCAGCUGACCAUUGUCUUCCUUCUCUAAGAACAAUGAGAAGGAACUAUGGAAGACCAAGAAAAGAAUAAUGGUGACAUCAGCAGUUCAAAAAAUUCUCGUGACUGAUUCCUUCUUUUUACAUCGUUCAGAUAUGAUAAUCCCAGAAGUGUUUCCUUCUUUUUACAUCAUUCUUAUAAUCCCAGAAGUGUGUUGGUAUCUCAAGCACUUAACAGUGACAAUUAUGCCAUUUGGAGUAGAGCCAUGAUAAUGGCCUUGUCAGCCAAAAAUAAACUAGGCUUCAUAGAUGGAUCUAUCAAAGAGCAAAAGAAGGAGAUAAGAAUCGUGCCUUAUUAGUUAGAUACCAAUAAGAUGAUUCUUUCAUGGAUUUUAAA